UCCCAGCUGGCUCAGUGGUAAAGAAUUUGCCUGUAAUACAGAAGAACCCAGGGUCAAUCCCUGGGUCAGGAA
RNAcentral lists this transfer RNA (72 nucleotides) under Ovis aries (sheep). It matches the Rfam family "tRNA". From Rfam's summary of the family: Transfer RNA (tRNA) molecules are approximately 80 nucleotides in length. Their secondary structure includes four short double-helical elements and three loops (D, anti-codon, and T loops). The record is from Rfam by way of RNAcentral. Lineage: Eukaryota; Metazoa; Chordata; Mammalia; Artiodactyla; Bovidae.